This 566-nucleotide long non-coding RNA is filed under the name Oryza sativa aus subgroup. RNAcentral's name for it is "lncRNA OsN22_UnG000660". The record is from RNAcentral. Lineage: Eukaryota; Viridiplantae; Streptophyta; Magnoliopsida; Poales; Poaceae.
ACGCGCUAGUCAGGCGUCGGUCCGUAGGGAGCGCUGCCUGUGGUAUGAGGAAGAAUUGGGCGGGCAGCCUCACCCUGACAUCACCGCCAGCGGAGGAGAGGGAGGGAUCUGCUGCAGCAGCGGUGGAGGAUGUGGUCAGCGAGGAGCAUUGCCCUGUGGUAGGAGGAAGAAGGGACGGCCUGUGCGGUGUCCACCGUUGGACAACACCACAGGACGUGGUGGCGAGGCUGGUGAGCACCGUGGCAGCCAUUUGCUGCUCCCUCGUCUCCAAUCGAUUGGGCGAGAACCUUCCAAAAGCUUUGGGAAGCCCACCUGAUCGAGCCAUGGAGAAGCAGAAGCCAACCCUCGACGGCCCCUCCUUGCUCUAAGCUGCUCCAAGGUCGAGCUCUGCUUGCCCCACGCGCCGCCAGGAAGGAGCCGUCAACCUCACGGCUUGAGCUCUUGCUGGGGUGAGAUCGAGGGAGAAGUCGAUGCUCGCUACUGCUAGCUCCCUACUCCACCCACCAUCGUGAUGGUGGGACCUGCUCCGCGCGAGCUGCUGCUCCUUGCUGCUCGGGAUGUUUCUG